GGGGAUGUAAUAGAUUCGCCCGUUAUCACGGGACUAUGGUAAGCGCGCCGCAGGCUGUUGCGAUAAAAGGCAAUUUCAAAUUUAAACGCUAAUAAUAAUCAAAGAUUAGCUCUCGCUGCUUAAUUGCGAGCGUCGCCCCGGCUGACCGCAUGACCGGCAAGCGGCGUGAGAAAGUGCGGUAAAAUACGUUUGUGUGCGUCCGCGGCAUAAACGGGUAUCUUAGCGGAAUACCGAGGUUUACCCCGCCGAUGGGGGAAGCGCAGGAAAAUCAAAACGUCGGAUACGCGCGUAGAAGUCCGUAGGGACGGAUGGCGGUACACGGGUGCAAUUCCCGUCAUCUCCACCA
Molecule: transfer-messenger RNA, 346 nt
Filed under: Christensenellales
Lineage: Bacteria; Bacillati; Bacillota; Clostridia
Also listed under: 1 other name
Description: UMGS929 sp900546875 Standard tmRNA
Rfam family: transfer-messenger RNA
About the family: Bacterial tmRNA, also known as 10Sa RNA or SsrA, is named for its dual tRNA and mRNA-like properties. Its role is to liberate the mRNA from a stalled ribosome.
Source: RNAcentral